AUUGAACGCUGGCGGCAUGCCUAACACAUGCAAGUCGAACGGGUUGUAGCAAUACAACUAGUGGCGGACGGGUGAGGAAUACAUAGGAAUUUGCCUUUAGGUGGGGGAUAGUCCGGGGAAACUCGGUUUAAUACCGCAUGAUGUCGCAAGACCAAAGCAGGGGAUCGCAAGACCUUGCGCCUUUAGAGAAGCCUAUGUCGGAUUAGCUAGUUGGUAGGGUAAUGGCCUACCAAGGCGACGAUCCGUAACUGGUCUGAGAGGACGACCAGUCACACCGGAACUGAGACACGGUCCGGACUCCUACGGGAGGCAGCAGUGGGGAAUAUUGGACAAUGGGCGAAAGCCUGAUCCAGCGACGCCGCGUGGGUGAAGAAGGCCUGCGGGUUGUAAAGCCCUUUCGGUGGGGAAGAAAAGCCUCGAGUUAAUACCUCGGGGUCUUGACGUAACCCAUAGAAGAAGCACCGGCUAACUCUGUGCCAGCCGCCGCGGUAAU
RNAcentral lists this ribosomal RNA (493 nucleotides) under uncultured bacterium. RNAcentral describes it as "bacterial SSU rRNA". It matches the Rfam family "Bacterial small subunit ribosomal RNA", at positions 30 to 524 of the family's 1533-position model. The record is from RNAcentral.